GGUUAAGCGACUAAGCGUACACGGUGGAUGCCCUGGCAGUCAGAGGCGAUGAAGGACGUGCUAAUCUGCGAUAAGCGUCGGUAAGGUGAUAUGAACCGUUAUAACCGGCGAUUUCCGAAUGGGGAAACCCAGUGUGUUUCGACACACUAUCAUUAACUGAAUCCAUAGGUUAAUGAGGCGAACCGGGGGAACUGAAACAUCUAAGUACCCCGAGGAAAAGAAAUCAACCGAGAUUCCCCCAGUAGCGGCGAGCGAACGGGGAGCAGCCCAGAGCCUGAAUCAGUGUGUGUGUUAGUGGAAGCGUCUGGAAAGGCGCGCGAUACAGGGUGACAGCCCCGUACACAAAAAUGCACAUGCUGUGAGCUCGAUGAGUAGGGCGGGACACGUGGUAUCCUGUCUGAAUAUGGGGGGACCAUCCUCCAAGGCUAAAUACUCCUGACUGACCGAUAGUGAACCAGUACCGUGAGGGAAAGGCGAAAAGAACCCCGGCGAGGGGAGUGAAAAAGAACCUGAAACCGUGUACGUACAAGCAGUGGGAGCACGCUUAGGCGUGUGACUGCGUACCUUUUGUAUAAUGGGUCAGCGACUUAUAUUCUGUAGCAAGGUUAACCGAAUAGGGGAGCCGAAGGGAAACCGAGUCUUAACUGGGCGUUAAGUUGCAGGGUAUAGACCCGAAACCCGGUGAUCUAGCCAUGGGCAGGUUGAAGGUUGGGUAACACUAACUGGAGGACCGAACCGACUAAUGUUGAAAAAUUAGCGGAUGACUUGUGGCUGGGGGUGAAAGGCCAAUCAAACCGGGAGAUAGCUGGUUCUCCCCGAAAGCUAUUUAGGUAGCGCCUCGUGAAUUCAUCUCCGGGGGUAGAGCACUGUUUCGGCAAGGGGGUCAUCCCGACUUACCAACCCGAUGCAAACUGCGAAUACCGGAGAAUGUUAUCACGGGAGACACACGGCGGGUGCUAACGUCCGUCGUGAAGAGGGAAACAACCCAGACCGCCAGCUAAGGUCCCAAAGUCAUGGUUAAGUGGGAAACGAUGUGGGAAGGCCCAGACAGCCAGGAUGUUGGCUUAGAAGCAGCCAUCAUUUAAAGAAAGCGUAAUAGCUCACUGGUCGAGUCGGCCUGCGCGGAAGAUGUAACGGGGCUAAACCAUGCACCGAAGCUGCGGCAGCGACGCUGAUGCGUUGUUGGGUAGGGGAGCGUUCUGUAAGCCUGUGAAGGUGUGCUGUGAGGCAUGCUGGAGGUAUCAGAAGUGCGAAUGCUGACAUAAGUAACGAUAAAGCGGGUGAAAAGCCCGCUCGCCGGAAGACCAAGGGUUCCUGUCCAACGUUAAUCGGGGCAGGGUGAGUCGACCCCUAAGGCGAGGCCGAAAGGCGUAGUCGAUGGGAAACAGGUUAAUAUUCCUGUACUUGGUGUUACUGCGAAGGGGGGACGGAGAAGGCUAUGUUGGCCGGGCGACGGUUGUCCCGGUUUAAGCGUGUAGGCUGGUUUUCCAGGCAAAUCCGGAAAAUCAAGGCUGAGGCGUGAUGACGAGGCACUACGGUGCUGAAGCAACAAAUGCCCUGCUUCCAGGAAAAGCCUCUAAGCAUCAGGUAACAUCAAAUCGUACCCCAAACCGACACAGGUGGUCAGGUAGAGAAUACCAAGGCGCUUGAGAGAACUCGGGUGAAGGAACUAGGCAAAAUGGUGCCGUAACUUCGGGAGAAGGCACGCUGAUAUGUAGGUGAGGUCCCUCGCGGAUGGAGCUGAAAUCAGUCGAAGAUACCAGCUGGCUGCAACUGUUUAUUAAAAACACAGCACUGUGCAAACACGAAAGUGGACGUAUACGGUGUGACGCCUGCCCGGUGCCGGAAGGUUAAUUGAUGGGGUUAGCGCAAGCGAAGCUCUUGAUCGAAGCCCCGGUAAACGGCGGCCGUAACUAUAACGGUCCUAAGGUAGCGAAAUUCCUUGUCGGGUAAGUUCCGACCUGCACGAAUGGCGUAAUGAUGGCCAGGCUGUCUCCACCCGAGACUCAGUGAAAUUGAACUCGCUGUGAAGAUGCAGUGUACCCGCGGCAAGACGGAAAGACCCCGUGAACCUUUACUAUAGCUUGACACUGAACAUUGAGCCUUGAUGUGUAGGAUAGGUGGGAGGCUUAGAAGUGUGGACGCCAGUCUGCAUGGAGCCGACCUUGAAAUACCACCCUUUAAUGUUUGAUGUUCUAACGUUGACCCGUAAUCCGGGUUGCGGACAGUGUCUGGUGGGUAGUUUGACUGGGGCGGUCUCCUCCUAAAGAGUAACGGAGGAGCACGAAGGUUGGCUAAUCCUGGUCGGACAUCAGGAGGUUAGUGCAAUGGCAUAAGCCAGCUUGACUGCGAGCGUGACGGCGCGAGCAGGUGCGAAAGCAGGUCAUAGUGAUCCGGUGGUUCUGAAUGGAAGGGCCAUCGCUCAACGGAUAAAAGGUACUCCGGGGAUAACAGGCUGAUACCGCCCAAGAGUUCAUAUCGACGGCGGUGUUUGGCACCUCGAUGUCGGCUCAUCACAUCCUGGGGCUGAAGUAGGUCCCAAGGGUAUGGCUGUUCGCCAUUUAAAGUGGUACGCGAGCUGGGUUUAGAACGUCGUGAGACAGUUCGGUCCCUAUCUGCCGUGGGCGCUGGAGAACUGAGGGGGGCUGCUCCUAGUACGAGAGGACCGGAGUGGACGCAUCACUGGUGUUCGGGUUGUCAUGCCAAUGGCACUGCCCGGUAGCUAAAUGCGGAAGAGAUAAGUGCUGAAAGCAUCUAAGCACGAAACUUGCCCCGAGAUGAGUUCUCCCUGACCCUUUAAGGGUCCUGAAGGAACGUUGAAGACGACGACGUUGAUAGGCCGGGUGUGUAAGCGCAGCGAUGCGUUGAGCUAACCGGUACUAAUGAACCGUGAGGCUUAACCUU
This 2904-nucleotide ribosomal RNA is filed under the name Escherichia coli. RNAcentral's name for it is "23S ribosomal RNA". It matches the Rfam family "Bacterial large subunit ribosomal RNA". The record is from RNAcentral. Lineage: Bacteria; Pseudomonadati; Pseudomonadota; Gammaproteobacteria; Enterobacterales; Enterobacteriaceae.